UAAUUUUUUUUAAUUUUUCGGUUUUGACAGAAGUAACUAUUAGAACUAAUUUUGUGCUGCGGUCUUAUACAAAGCAGUCUGAAGCUUUAAACAGAGUGCGUUUGACAAUUUGAUCACAUGCGGGUGAGGACUUAGACGGAGCGGUGUUGAAAAUGGCUGUUCAAGUUGCUACAGAGAAAGAAUAUCGAGAAAAGUUACUGCGUAUGGUGAAAAAGGAGGUGAAACAGAUCAUGGAAGAAGCCGUUACUAGAAAGUUUGUUCACGAAGAAAGCAGCAGUAUUACUUCUCUAUGUGGU
Molecule: long non-coding RNA, 296 nt
Organism: Limulus polyphemus (Atlantic horseshoe crab)
Lineage: Eukaryota; Metazoa; Arthropoda; Merostomata; Xiphosura; Limulidae
Exons: 3
Source: RefSeq, a predicted model, not a curated record